GCAAUUGUCUGGCAUUUCCCUAAGACUAGUAGCCAUCUGGCCCAUGGCUGAAGCCUUUCCUGGAUGGCAGAACCCAUCAGGACUUGGAUUGGCUGUCAUGGCCUUUGGGAAGCCAAGGGAUAUACUGGAACCAGCUCAUGGCUCUCGAGAGCUGAUGCUAAAUUUUCAGCGUGAGUUAUAAUCGCUUCCUCUUUGAAACUGACAAAUGCUACCAAUUAGUGUUUGAUUUAUGAUUUUGUUGAUUGCCUGGACUCAAGAAAGUGAUAGAGAAAUCGCUAAUAAUACAGAUCAACCCCCAAAGUGAGUGUUGAUGUUUCAAAUACCUUCUAAGAAAUACUCCUCAAAGAUGAAACACCUGAACUCUAUAUUAUCUGCAUGGCAUUGCAUAAGUUAACUGAUCUGUUGGAGCCCAUUUCCUCAUCUAUAACAUGGAAAGGGAGACACCCCCUCAACUCAGAUUUACAUCCAUCUCCAACCAUCUGGAUCUAUCACACUGGGUGCCUGCAGCGGUUUUCAAGGCUUGUUUUGUUUAUAUUUCUGUUCUUUACCCUGCUGUGAACCAUUUUUCCUUGCACUUUUCAAAUCCAGCCAAUAGCAAAAAAUUGAAAAAAUAAAGACCCAAGGGUUGAAAUCUGACCAAACAGCUUUAAUCAAUAGAGGCUUUCAGAAGAAGACAAUAAUGUAAAUCAGGCUGUUUAGGCCAAGCUUGCAUCUCACUAAGCACUUUGUAAAGGGCCAGCCACUGAUCUGUAAGGCGGAAGAAGACGGCUUUCAACACUUAUGUUCCAUAGUGAGUUGAACAUGUGUUUAAGGUAUAUGAAAUGUGGAACAAGGCAGAGAAGAGCAUUUGCACGCUAAGAAUCCAUUACUGGUCUUUGGAAGCUCUCACGUGGGGCUUUUAAAAUGAGGGGCUCCAUUUUUUCAGGUUCUUUCUAGCCCCAAAGUCUUAAUCUGAAGCUUCCUCAUGGCAUGGAGAUCAUCUGGAGCUCUUGAGGCUGUGGCUAGUAGAGCACAAACUUGGGCAGAUUCUACCCAGCUGGAAAAACUCCAAAUACCAUCUUGGCAAACCAUCCUAGCCAAAUGAGCCAAGAGGCUAGCUAAUCACCAGGUAAUAAAAUUUUAAAUUACACACA
RNAcentral lists this long non-coding RNA (1133 nucleotides) under Monodelphis domestica (gray short-tailed opossum). RNAcentral's name for it is "lncRNA (ENSMODG00000037471.1)". Lineage: Eukaryota; Metazoa; Chordata; Mammalia; Didelphimorphia; Didelphidae. The record is from RNAcentral.